GGCUCCUGACUGGUCCGUGUGAAGAUGCAGUGGAAGUGCAAAUACUGAUUCUUUGAGAGCUUUGGAGUGGACAAGUUCUGCAGGUUCUGCAUGGCAACGAUGAGUGAGAUCCAAGACAAGGAGAUGGCAGCACACCAGAAGAUGACCUUGAGAGUAAUUUUCACAGAGAC
This is a long non-coding RNA of Archocentrus centrarchus (flier cichlid), 170 nucleotides long. RefSeq lists it as uncharacterized. The transcript is spliced from 4 exons. Lineage: Eukaryota; Metazoa; Chordata; Actinopteri; Cichliformes; Cichlidae. The record is from RefSeq and is a predicted model, not a curated record.